AGUGAACGCUGGCGGCAUGCCUAACACAUGCAAGUCGAACGGCACUUCAGUAACAGCUUGCUCUUACGCGUGCCGAGUGACGGUCGAGUGGCGAAUGCGUGGGAAACUACUGGGCCACGGGCGCUAACGUGGGGAAACACACGCGGAUACCGGAGACGAUACACCAUUACAAGAAGUACAGCUUGGUAACUUGGUCGAUGGAAUCAAUCGAUGUCGGAUUAGCUAGGUGGCGGGGUAAAGGGCGACCAAGGCGACGAUGCGUAGCUGAAUUGAGAGGAUGAUCAGCCACAUUGGGACUGAGACACGGCCCAGACUCCUACGGGAGGCAGCAGUAGGGAAUAUUCGACAAUGGGCGAAAGCCUGAUGCAGCAAUACCGCGUGGGUGAAGAAGGCCUUCGGAUCGUAAAGCCCUGUUGUUAGGAAAGAAAGUCAGCAGGUUAAACCGUCGCUGUUCUGACGGUACCCAACGAAUAAGCACCGGCUAACUUCGUG
This 492-nucleotide ribosomal RNA is filed under the name uncultured bacterium. Its description in RNAcentral is "partial 16S ribosomal RNA". It matches the Rfam family "Bacterial small subunit ribosomal RNA", at positions 29 to 507 of the family's 1533-position model. The record is from RNAcentral.